This 256-nucleotide ribosomal RNA is filed under the name uncultured bacterium. Its description in RNAcentral is "partial 16S ribosomal RNA". It matches the Rfam family "Bacterial small subunit ribosomal RNA", at positions 524 to 776 of the family's 1533-position model. The record is from RNAcentral.
UACGGAGGGAGCUAGCGUUGUUCGGAAUUACUGGGCGUAAAGCGCACGUAGGCGGAUUGGAAAGUUGGGGGUGGAAUCCCCAGGGCUCAACCCUGGAACUGCCUCCAAAACUCCCAGUCUGGAGUUCGAGAGAGGUGAGUGGAAUUCCGAGUGUAGAGGUGAAAUUCGUAGAUAUUCGGAGGAACACCGAGUGGCGAAGGCGGCUCACUGGCUCGAUACUGACGCUGAGGUGCGAAAGUGUGGGGGAGCAAACAGG